AACGAACGCUGGCGGCAGGCUUAACACAUGCAAGUCGAACGAUGAGCCGGGUGCUUGCACUCGGGGAUUAGUGGCGAACGGGUGAGUAACACGUGAGCAACCUGCCCCUGACUCUGGGAUAAGCGCUGGAAACGGCGUCUAAUACUGGAUAUGUCCCGUCACCGCAUGGUGUGCGGGUGGAAAGAUUUUUCGGUUGGGGAUGGGCUCGCGGCCUAUCAGCUUGUUGGUGAGGUAAUGGCUCACCAAGGCGUCGACGGGUAGCCGGCCUGAGAGGGUGACCGGCCCCACUGGGACUGGGACACGGCCCAGACUCCUACGGGAGGCAGCAGUGGGGAAUAUUGCACGAUGGGCGGAAGCCUGAUGCAGCAACGCCGCGUGAGGGAUGACGGCCUUCGGGUUGUAAACCUCUUUUAGCAGGGAAGAAGCGAGAGUGACGGUACCUGCAGAAAAAGCACCGGCUAACUACGUGCCAGCCGCCGCGGUAA
This 485-nucleotide ribosomal RNA is filed under the name uncultured bacterium. RNAcentral's name for it is "partial 16S ribosomal RNA". It matches the Rfam family "Bacterial small subunit ribosomal RNA", at positions 28 to 523 of the family's 1533-position model. The record is from RNAcentral.